RNAcentral lists this long non-coding RNA (932 nucleotides) under Olea europaea (common olive). RNAcentral describes it as "long non-coding RNA (OEUR_LNC004545)". Lineage: Eukaryota; Viridiplantae; Streptophyta; Magnoliopsida; Lamiales; Oleaceae. The record is from RNAcentral.
UAAGGUCUAGUUAUUCUAACGAAAUUAACUAGGUAACAACGAAGUAUGUUAAUCAAAAAUAAUUUCAACUAAAGCAAUUCUAAACAAAAUAUACCUCAAAGGUAAUAGAUGGAUUUCAUCAAAAUAAAAUACUCUAAUUUCUAGCACAAGCAAUGGUUAUCUCACAUUGUAACCCCAAAUCCUAUUAUUACUCUACAUGAUGAUGCGCUAGUGCUGAUAUUUAAUCGGGACAAGCCAAUUUACCAAAGUGGACCAUGUCUGAAGUUCUUAAAAUCGAGAUAUGUGAAUCUAAAGCUUUAGGACCACCACUAUUCGCCCUAAAAUUUCACCAAAUGUUCCAAUGCAAAUGACCAAUAAUUGCAGAUUGAGCUUUCAGGGACAAAAUCAUUCAAUUUUUUUCGUACAACCUGAAACACGAAAUUAAAAAUAUCAAUAUGUUCAGAAAAUUAGUAUGAGCAGCCUAUCUGAAAAAAACUUCACCAGAGUCGUCGUUACAUGCCUCGCCAGAGAUGCAUGCAUGCCGCCGUUGCGUCCCACGCAAGGAGGAGCACCUCCACCUGCUAAAGCUGGGUCUAGUCUUGGUUUGUUCGGAAUCCCAGCUUUCAGGUUCGAUCACUUCGAAAAAUGGCAUGAUUUUAGACGAUUUUUAGUUAAUUUCUGACUUGAUAUGCCCACACGAGGCUUUGAUGUCAAAUCUUGUGCGAAAGAGAAGAUCGUUAAGGCGUUUUUGGGCUCAAAUUCUCCAAUAAUCGACACCACUAUGAAAAAACCCAAACUCCCUUCAACCACCCCAUUUACGGUUGCUUUUUGUUCACCCACUUAAAACCCACAAAUGAAGCUAUAAUCACAACGAGGAAGUAACCACAAAGGUAGUAGAGUGAAUGAAAACAGUGGGCAAAGACACAAAGAGAGAGCCACCCACUUUCACACAC